RNAcentral lists this unclassified non-coding RNA (2923 nucleotides) under Orussus abietinus. RNAcentral describes it as "cerebellar degeneration-related protein 2-like, transcript variant X6". Lineage: Eukaryota; Metazoa; Arthropoda; Insecta; Hymenoptera; Orussidae. The record is from RNAcentral.
AUGAGCCUGCUGUCCCCCUCCGCCGCCAUCGGCGCCGUCAGGUGCCGCGCCGACGAAGAGGCCGACCACAACAUGCUUCAGGGUUCUCAGGCGGACGGAACGCCAGAGCGGAAUCGAGGGCGAAUCCCCUGCGGACGCGGCCGCGCGCGGGGAAAGCCGACUCGAUGCUCCAGGAUCGUUUGUCCGCCGUUAAGGGCGUUCGCUCGAGCCGGACGAGUUUGGUCCCCAAAGUUGCGGUCGACCGCCACGGAUCGCGAAUUUUCCAGCUGCGUAAACAAGGAGGAUCUUCCGCGCCAAGUGGGACGCAAGAGAGAGACGGACGACCGGCCGGCCAAUGGGAGCGGAAGGUGCCCCCGCUCCUGCCUCCGACGGACGCUCACCUCUCCCGUCGAAAGUUCCUUAUCCAAGACCUGCAGCUGGCGGCGGAACUCGGCAAGACAUUGCUGGAGCGCAACAAGGAACUGGAGAACAGCCUGAAGCUGCAUCAGUCCACCAUCGACGAACAGGCCCAAGAAAUAGAGUACAUGAAGAAGCAGACGACGGCGUUGAGGGAGGUGAAUGAUUCUCGCCUGAAGAUCUACGAACAGCUGGAGGUUAGCAUCCAGGACUUGGAGCGCGCGAACCACCGACUCGUGGUCGAGAACGCCGGCGACAAGAAGCUGAUAAAAAGCCAGUGCUCGACGAUCGAGAACCUCGAGGCGAGGUGCGAGGAGCUGCACAAGAAGGUGGACGAGGCGCGCGACCGAUACGAGGCCCUCCUUCAUCGGCAGAGCGGCGGUCAGUCGUCCAGCGGGGCGGACUCGCGAGCUACCGUCCGGAAGGGGUCGACCUCGCGAGAUGGCAGCACGCAACAGAACGCUGCCUCGACCCCGCCGGCCCCCGUCCCGGACGUCUCGGGUAGCUCGAGUGCCCGGGAAUCGUCCAAGAGCGGCGCCAACGACGAGGAGACGACCGACCUGCUGAGGCAGCUGAACGAAGCUCGGAGCCAGCGGGCGAGGGAGCAGAAGAGGGUGGCCGAACUCGGCGAACAGCUGACGACCCUCCUGCAGGAGAACGCCCUGCUGGAGGAGCAGCUCAACGUCUGGAGGCACAAGGCGCAGGACAUGAAGAGUCUGCAGGAGGAAAUAAGCACGCUGGAGGAAGUGAGACAAGGACACCUCUGCGGCCGUUGUCUGCGAGGCAUCGACACGAAGACUCACGACGAGCUCUCCGUAAUGCUGGACCAGGAGGAGGACGACGACGUCGGCUUGGCCGAGUCGUACACCAGCCUCGGCCCCUGCGACGCGGAGUCCUUAUCGCAGGAGCCGGCCGCCGGCAAGGAGGAAGUCGCGGACAACCCCUACCGGGUGCUGGUCGAGAAGUACGAGGCCCUGCUCAAGGUGCAGAGGCGGCCCAGGAGCGCGGCCGCCCCGGCGGGUUGCCUGUCGCUCCAGGAGGAGCUGGAGAUGUCGGGGGAGUUCGACGGCUUCCAGCCAGAGGCGCCGCCCAGGGACCGCCUCGCCGGGGCCGCCAGACGGCAGGCGGGCCCCAGAAAGCCGUUCUCCGCCACGCCGACCGAUUUCUCCUCGGAGACCUCCUCGGGGUUCGCCGACGAGACCAGCAACAAGGCCACGCAGACCGAGGGCAGACCCGGCUCGUUCCUCUGCACCAUCGCCGACGGCGAGGACUGCCGCUUCAGCAUCUACGACGAUACGAGCUCCUUCGAGAGCAGGUUCCUCAAGACGCCGGAGUACCGGCAGACCUUCAGCGAGAUGCUCAGCGUACUGAAGCAGGCGGCCGAGGGCGACAAGGUGCCGCCGGCCUCGGCCCGGGUCGGCUCGGACGCGGGCCCCGGGGAGGACGCGCCCAGCGAGGCCACCGACGACAACCGCAGCGUCGUCUCCUCGGCCGUGUCCUCCGUCGUCUCGGAGCCUCUCUUUAGGGUGCACGAGCGGGCGGAGCGCCGGAGGGACGACAGGGCAAGGGCCGAGGACGCAGCCACGCCCAGGCCCCUCCACGGCCCCAGGAAGCCUCUGGAGUACCUGUCCGUCAGCGUGCAGGUGCGCAAGAAGGCCUCGGCGAAGAAGGCCGCCUGCAAGAAGCCGGGGCCGGGCCAGGGCGAACGGCCCACCACCCCCGACGUGGUGCCCACCACCAACCCCAAGGUCGGUCACAUCAAGCCCAGCCCCGGCCGCAGGCGGUUCCGGCCGCUGGCCGCCGACGCCGGGGUCUGGAACGGCAACACCCUCCACGUGUACCCCAAUCGGACGAAGACGUCGACCCCGGGGCCGAACCGUCGGCAGGCCGCCCCCGAGUCGCCUGGCGCCGCCUUCGAGUACAGGCCCGGGCCCGCCUCCGAGGAGGUCGCCAAGCUCAGGCGACUCGAGAUGUCCUACGCCGAGGCUCUCCGCAUGCCCAACAAGCCCAAAUCCAAUAGUCGUAGGAACUAGAGCGCCCCGACGCUCCUCUAGCAGGCCGGCUCUCCAGGGAGGACCGACCCCGCCACUCUGCCAAGUUAUUCUCUCGGACGUUUCCGUCUCGUCUCGUCUCGUCUCGUCUCGGCUCGCCUCCGGGCCGGCUCGGCGGCAGCGGGGCCGGUUCCGGGGCCGGUUCCGGGGCCGGUUCCGGACGAUUGUACAUAACUACGCGGCGGAACUUAGUCAGGCCUAGACGAGCGCUGGAGCGGUCGAAUGUCUCGUCGAUGCGACCGACCAAAUCGCGACGGAGCCUCGACUGGACGUUGCCAACGAGUCGGCGAACGAUGUCACGGUCCAUGUGCCAUUUUUAGUCGAGACGUCGAAACACUAUCCGUGUUCUCUUCCACGCCGAUUUCGUCGGUCCUGACCUAACGAUGCAUCGUGGAGUUCGUUAGCUUUUGUAUUAUUCAGGUUUAGAUGCAACGUUAGCGGUCGUCCUGGAUAAGCGAAUAAACUUCUUCAAUGCA